UGGCACAGUUGGUAGAGCAUGGUGUUUGCAACGCCAGGGUUGUGGGUUCAAUUCCCAC
RNAcentral lists this transfer RNA (58 nucleotides) under Salmo salar (Atlantic salmon). It matches the Rfam family "tRNA", at positions 8 to 63 of the family's 71-position model. Rfam says of the family: Transfer RNA (tRNA) molecules are approximately 80 nucleotides in length. Their secondary structure includes four short double-helical elements and three loops (D, anti-codon, and T loops). Further hydrogen bonds mediate the characteristic L-shaped molecular structure. tRNAs have two regions of fundamental functional importance: the anti-codon, which is responsible for specific mRNA codon recognition, and the 3' end, to which the tRNAs corresponding amino acid is attached (by aminoacyl-tRNA synthetases). tRNAs cope with the degeneracy of the genetic code in two manners: having more than one tRNA (with a specific anti-codon) for a particular amino acid; and 'wobble' base-pairing, i.e. permitting non-standard base-pairing at the 3rd anti-codon position. The record is from Rfam by way of RNAcentral. Lineage: Eukaryota; Metazoa; Chordata; Actinopteri; Salmoniformes; Salmonidae.